GACGAACGCUGGCGGCGUGCCUAAUACAUGCAAGUCGAGCGGACGAUUCGAAAGCUUGCUUUUGAAUCGUUAGCGGCGGACGGGUGAGUAACACGUGGGCAACCUGCCCUGUAGACGGGGAUAACACCGAGAAAUCGGUGCUAAUACCGGAUAACACGAAAUGUCGCAUGACGUUUCGUUGAAAGGCGGCGCAAGCUGCCGCUACAGGAUGGGCCCGCGGCGCAUUUGCGAGUUGGUGAGGUAACGGCUCACCAAGGCGACGAUGCGUAGCCGACCUGAGAGGGUGAUCGGCCACACUGGGACUGAGACACGGCCCCGACUCCUACGGGAGGCAGCAGUAGGGAAUCUUCCGCAAUGGACGAAAGUCUGACGGAGCAACGCCGCGUGAGCGAAGAAGGCCUUCGGGUCGUAAAGCUCUGUUGUUAGGGAAGAACAAGUAACGUAGUAACUGACGUUACUAUGACGGUACCUAACGAGAAAGCCACGGCUCACUACGUG
RNAcentral lists this ribosomal RNA (498 nucleotides) under uncultured bacterium. RNAcentral describes it as "partial 16S ribosomal RNA". It matches the Rfam family "Bacterial small subunit ribosomal RNA", at positions 28 to 507 of the family's 1533-position model. The record is from RNAcentral.